CUGUUUUUAAAUAGGGCUACCAGAAAGCAUUUGUCUUUAUCAUCCUAUUUUCAUACGCCAUUCUAUUUUAUAUGACCAAAACUGUUUUUAGUGGUGUAUUAACUUUGUUGGCUAUACUUGAAAGUUGAAACUGUCCGUUUACUUUCCCAAAGGAUAUUUGUUUUUCUCAAAUGUGUCGACAAGCUAGUCUGUAUUUCUUCUUUUUGUGUAUCUUAUUGCAGUUUGUAUAGCUCUUGGAAUUUCCGAAGAGACGCGAAGAAUAGAAAGUGUCUAUUGAGGGGCCCCAAAGGAAAAGAGCAUCCUCACAUUCUACUCAUUUUUCUCAUAUAAAAAAGACAUGUAACCUAGCAACAAUUGCAUGCCAAUUUUGAAAUGGCAAAUCUAUGCGACACCACCACGUUUCUAGUGAAAUCCUAGCUCAUGAAAACACGUGUACUGCAUCAUCUCUGCACUAAUAUUCACUUUCUUCACUCUUCAUCAACUGUAAUUAACUAAUUAUAGAACCAACUUUGUUAUUCUCUGAGUCUGUACUGCACAUCUAGCUUGGUAACCAAUAUGAGUGGCCAUCUCUUCCCCUUCAACACUUCCUUGAGGCCAUUCCUGGCCAAGCACUUGAGAGCAUGUGUCUACCAGCCCAUCAAGAGUUAUGCCCAAGCAAGCAAGCACAACGAUCCCCGUGAAAUAAUAGAAGAGAGGGCACCUUCAACCGCUAGACAAUUCAAAAAAAUGGCUGAGGAGAAGCUGAGGAAGGCCCAGCAAGGAGUGGCUA
Molecule: long non-coding RNA, 769 nt
Organism: Quercus robur (English oak)
Lineage: Eukaryota; Viridiplantae; Streptophyta; Magnoliopsida; Fagales; Fagaceae
Exons: 2
Source: RefSeq, a predicted model, not a curated record